GUUGACAUAGAGGAUCGGGACUAAAUGGAGACUGGUUCAGGAUCAGUUCAAACGUCUUCACACUCGCUUUAACAAAGCCAUCUGGAGUUAAAGUCCACUUUCACGCUCUGCUCAUUUUUGAUGCAAUCCAGUAGAAAUCUCCCAAAACAGGCAGGUGGGCGGAGCCUGAGUAGAUGGUGUGUGUCAAGAUGCUGGGUGACAUUUGGGACGUGGUCCCUGAAGAGCCCCCUACCUGCCAGCGGGGUCCGACCUGGAUGUGGACAGUGGUCUUCCGGUCCCAGAGGACGGUGACGUCUUCGUCGGGGAAAUGAACCACGGUGAAGAACCCGGCCGGCCACAAGAACAUCCUCUGCUUCCUGUCGAUCGCGCUCGAUGGAUUCUGCGAGAAAAAAACUUUUUAAAACGUGACAACAUUUUCCCGCCUUCUCAUUUCAAUCUAAAAAGCUGAUCUCACGGGUUCCCCCGAGUCUUCGUCGAAGGCCACGGAGGAUCCGCCCACAUUGACCACGAGGGACUUCCUGCAGACGACUCCGCCGUCGAAGCAGCCGACGUUCUCAGCCGUCACGCUGAGCAUCACGUCGCCGCUGCUCUGUGGAGGACAGGCCACGCCCCUUUCACUUCGCAGGAACGCAAAGGGCUAAAAAAAUGCCGUUUGACUUUACUUAAGUGCACACGGUGUGUGAGGGCCCGGACAGACGGCGCACAUUGGAGGACAUACCUUCACCAGGUGGACCUCGCAGGCGCCCACGUAGUCGAACAGCAGCCCGUCGAACGUCCCGUAGUGGCGGUCUCCGUAGGCCGAGCACAUGGCCGGGCACGCACGGAACGCACAGCGGAACGUCCCGUGCUGGCAGACGCUGCAGAGACAGCAGAGCCUCAGUGAUUCAGCAUCGACUUGUCGAGGCUAAUGGGGGGUCGGGGGGGUCGGGAACAGUCGCAGGCUGAUUCUGCCGCCAUUAGUCUGUCAUCUGGUUCGAGUUCUCCCUUUCAGCGGCCCGGAGCGAAGAGUCGCACAAGGGCCCGCUCUGUUUUUUUGUCUUUCUCUUUCUUUCUGGCCCUGUUGAUCGGGGAGAAUUAUGGAUAUCGGGUGGCCCCUUCCUGUCAAUCCCAGGAGAAAAAAUUAGCAUCGCUGAUGGAGAUUUGUCCUGUUUCUGACGGACAGUGUGUGAAACACUCAGGGGUAAUAAAGGCUGGGGGGGGGGGCAAAAUGGGUCCAUUAAGGGGUCGUGGACCCCCCAAUACUUUGUAAACUCUUGACAGAUAUUUUUGACUGGUGGCUCGACGAUCAGGUCUUUGCGGCCGCGUGCGAGUGAGUAAAUGUGUUGCCGCGGUAACGGCGGAGGGUUAGCAACAAAACCACGUAGCGAAAUACGGUUUUCUGUUAACAUCCGAAGAAGGAGAGGAAGAGUAAGACGUCUUCCUGGUUUGUCAUGUGACGCCAUGUGGCCCAAAAAAAAAGAUUUCCCAUAGACUCAAAUCGGGAAAGAGACUUUUGUAACUAAGAGGGUCUUUUUCUCUUCCCAGCAUGGACCCUUGAUCUGAAUCAUUGCAGAGAUUUCAUCCUUCUUCCAUUGGACUCUGAACCUGAAGCCCUUCAUACAUCCGGGAUCCGUCCUGCAGGCUCAUGUUCAUUUAUCUAUAGAAAAGCUUUCUGCACCAAUGAAGGAAGGAAAUAUUCUGUGUUUUAAUGAACUAAAGAGUACUUGUGGUAAAUGCUGGUCGUACCACUGAUGGCAGGGGGAGGAGACUCGGUCGCCGGGGUAAUACUCCUUUCCUUUCCACAGACACGGACAGGAAGCAGCUUCGAAGCACUCGUCUCCAUGUUUCAGCAGGCUGCAGACACACACACACACACACACACACAAAUGAAGAGCUGCUUCAUCUAGAAAAAGGAGCUGGGAUUUGGUGGAUUGAGUUGAAUUAUUUCUUCUUAGACAUCCAUGAGAUUCCUUCAGUUUGGCUUCACCUUCUUAACUUAUAACAUUUACCCAGAUGCCCAAAAGUAUAUGACGUUUAUUCAUCUACUAACACACUCCUAACUGGAUCAACAAUAAGAGAGUCCUUCUGCACUCGGGGUCCACUCAGUCCUGAUAAACAUAUAACGCAGUAAUAAAUAAUACAUUGGGACGGCAUUCAUUCCAGCAGGGUUAUCAUCAGGCAUCAUCCUCCAUUCUAUCCGCCCCGAUGAUCCCACGUCUUUGUGAUCAGCUGAUUGGGCCGAUGAGCGACAUCAUCAAUGAAGCGGCGCGGGCCGGUUGUGAUCAUCGUUUCUUGUGUUUCGGCGACCCAACGAGGGAAGCGUCCUCAGAGGCCGAGCCGCAGCAGACACACCGUUAGCUACAUGAGAACACCAGACGAUUAGGAUUCUCAGAGAUAGAGGGAGAGACGCCCUUUGUUGCCCGGGACGGGGGCUGAUAAGUAUCUUGUAGUAUCCCGGGUCGAGAGCCACAGACCUCGGGCUCCGAUGAAACCGCGUUAACAGCGUCCUUUGUGCGGCCGCCAAACCGCCGUAUCGAUUACUCCGAUCAAAGGUCCCACAGAGGCAGCGGCGCAUCGCGAUACAUCCCCAUCAACCCGGGAUUUAAUCCCAGCAGAGGAUUGUAAAAAGGUGGCGGGUCACUUCUUCAAAUCAAACCCAUAGGAGCCGUCACAUACUUCUAAUAAAACACUUUCAGGGUGAGUCUUCUGCUCUUCUCCAACACAGCACGGCGUUCCUUUAGUAACCGACUGUCCAUUUAGAGCAGGGGUCUCAAACUCGCGGCCCGCGGGCCAAUUGCGGCCCUCGGGACGAUAUUUUGUGGCUCCAUCCUUAAUAUGAAAGUGUAAUGUUAGUGCGGCCCGCAAGUUUUAUACUGUAACCCCACUGUCAGCUGCUGUGUGGGACAUGUUAUGAUGUUCUGGUUUCCUACUGUGUGCUUGUCCAGUGAACGUGGCAUGCAUGUGACUGACAUGGGGGGCGGGUCGUGUGUGUCGGCCGAGGUGCAGAGAGCAGGAGGGUGAAAUUCAGUUUCCUGCCCUCUUUCGCGCAGGUGAUCAUGUGACUAACCGUUAGCAUCGCUCGUUUAAUAAAGUUUUCCUUUACGACUCACACUAACAACACAAGAAGCAUCUGACGUCACCGACGAGCGUCUCCGUCCAUUACUACGCAGCUUCGAUUCACGUAACUUCACGUUUGGCUAUAAAGGAAUUCCACGGUCACAUGACCUUAGGUCUCCCCCGCUGAGUUAAAGGAGGACUAGUGUUGUAGUCUCAUUGGGACCGAUCCCCCAGGGUGGGGUUCAAUGACUGCUUUUGAAAGUGAGUGUUAAGUUGUGUUAUUGUCGACCAUGCCGUUCGGACGCUAGUUCGGACGCUAGUCCGGCCCGCGUUCGGUUGAAGUGGGCUGCAUCUGGCCCGCAGCUGAUUUGAGUUUGAGACCCCUGAUUUAGAGUCAAACAGACUUCAGGGCGGGGCUACACUUUGAUUGACAGGUCUCUAACGCGCAGGAGAAGCAUAUAUUUUGCGCAGAUAUCUUAAUUUACAUAUAAUACUGGGUAUAUUCCAUGUUUCAACAACACAAAUAGAAACAGAUUGACUAUUUGUAAAAUGUAUUUUUAAUAUAAUUUUUUUUUUUUGGCUCAAGGUGGGCCACGCCCCAUUGCCCUCUAUAGACCUGCCGCCACUGGGGCGGGGCUACAGGCUGAUUGACAGGUGUCUAACAGACCACAAAGCAGAGGGUGCUUUAGGGCGGGGCUACACGUUGAUUGACAGGUCUCUAACAGACCACACAGCAGGGAGUGCUUUAGGGCGGGGCUACACGCUGAUUGACGGGUCUCUAACAGACCAUACAGCAGGGGGUGAUUUAGGGCAGGGCUACACGCUGAUUGACAGGUCUCUAACAGACCACACAGCAGGAGGUGCUUUAGGGCGGGGCUACACGCUGAUUGACAGGUCUCUAACAGACCACACAGCAGGGGGAGCUCACACGUCCUGCUUCUGCUCCGUGUCGUGAUAACGUCAUUGUCACGUAAGCUCCGCCCCGAAAAGAGACCAAACUCCCGCUUUGUUCGAUCGCCGGAUAUUAACGGCUAUUUCACACAAUGGAGCCGAGACAACUAUCGACUGACUUGAAACAUCGGCGCUGAUCUGAGCCCUCGUUAUCCCCCGUUUCAGACAUGAGAACCUUUGGAGCGAUGACCCGUCGCUGCUCGUAUCAAUACAGCCGUCAUCAGCCCGCUGAAUGACUUCUCUUUGUCUCCGUGUUUAGCACAGAAUGAGCUCACAAGCUCUCGGGUUCCAGGCUGCAAACCGACGUGGUCUCGUCCCCAGCAAAGGUCGUCCCGCUUCACCAGAAGUGAAUCACAGACGAGAGUCUCACAUUUCCUCCGGUUCAACGAUCGCAAUCCGCACAGAUGCGUCAUAAGCCGCGAUGCGCCUUGUUGAUAUUGUCACGAGGACGACGCUCGCUUUAAGUCACAGAGUGAAACCGCUUGACCCUCCAUUCAGAAGGGAUUACGGGGAUCAGAUGACGGUCAUCGACUCGGGAUGUCUGUGCAGCUCAUCGGCCGGUUGGGAGGACGUCCGUCUCCCACCGAGCAUCAAAGACUCCUCAAACGUCCUCAACAGCACCGCAAGAAAACUAAGUCCACUUUCAACAACGCACAACCUCCAAUGACAACAGAGCAGAGUGAAGAUCCUCACCCGGGGGGGCAGGUGCAUCCGGCCACGCAGGGCUCGUGCGACGAGCAGGUGAGGUUCAGCAGGGAGGAUUCGCAGGUGCGCUCGCAGGCCACGCCCCUCGACAACAGGACGCCGUCGGCCCCCUCCGAGCAGUUCUGGUACCGCUGACCGGGGGGACACAACAUGUCUGUGGGAGGACGAGAAGAAGAAAGGCUUCAACAUAUUAACACCAAGUCUCAUUUUAGACUAUUAAGAAGAUCAAUCCGGCGACACAGAUGGAGGAUCAUGAGUGACGUGACGUUUGGUUGAAGCGACUCACCGCUGUCUGACGUCUGCGACACCAGUUUGCCGUCCAGACAGAGUCUGUGAGGACACACAGAGCGAUGAAGCUUAAUGCAGGGAACACGACAGCAAACCUCCCAUCGGAAACAUCGAACUGUGGACAUUUUGAAUUAGAAUUGUUUGGACGCAGAAUAAAGUGGAUCAUUGGUGUGUGAAGGCCUCAUCUGAUCGUCCGAGUGUUUGUCUCAUCGUCCUGACCCUGAAGCUACGGCGAGAAUGGUGCUUUUCACGCGUAUAGGUGGACAGAGACGGGGGGGGCGGAGCUUACUGAACACCUGCUGACGUCAUGAUCACAUCUCCUGGUUCGUAAUCCGCUCCGAGGAAACUGCAGGGACACUCGCUCCUGAAGGAGAUGACAACUGUAAAUAAUAAUAAGCACCAGUAAACAAAGCACAGGAGACGAUGUAAUGCUGCUGGACCCGGAGCGAGUGCAACAUGAUGCUCCUCACAGGCCGCUCAGGGUCUCUGUAACCGCAGCGUUAACGCACGCUGGCGAGCUUCUGCUUCCGUUCCACUGUGUCUGCAGCAGAAACACAAAGCGCCUGGAUGAUCAUUUCUAGAGCCAUCAGCGGGUGCCUGCGUUAGCGUGCCGGCCAGCGCCACACAUCGGCCUCUGUGCCGGUCAUCAGAUAUCUGUGGCGUCCCCGGGCCCCCGAGCCGCGGGAAUGAAAGGGGGGUUUUCACGGUGAAUUCCUCCGGCGUAACUCUAUCGCGUAGUAAGUGAGGCACAAGGAUGUUAAAACACACACACACUCAAAAGAAAGCCGGGACAUUUAAGAGGAACGAAUGUCGGCCGAAAGCAUCCGACACACAGCAGACAAAUAUCGCUGAGAGGAGGAUUUUUAGUGACGCUCGGCAUUCAGGUCCAAGAAACACGACGGCGUCUCUCUGCUUGUGUUGCAGAAUUAAAAAAGGGAUUUCUCCCCCGUCCCCCGCCCCCCCCCGUCCCCCCUCACCUGUGCACGCAGGUGUGCGUCCGGUGGUUGUAGAAGGACUCCGGCGGGCAGACGCAGCCCUCUUCGCACUCCCCCCCGCAGCGAGGCGGGACGGAGAGGGCGGAGCAACGCCGCUGGCAGGACGACACGCAGGUGCCGUACUGCAUGGUGGCGGGACAGGUGACCGCUGGGGGGGGGGAGACGGUUCGAUUCCACGUCAGAGCGGUUUGAGUUCACAACAUAGAGGACGUGUUCAUUAAUGGACACCCGGAUGUUCCCUAUGAGGCUCUUUUUAAUACCUGCUUCCCACCGCCAGGUCAUAAUAUAACCAGGUGAUCGGCUGAACCACCUGUCAAUCAAACUUCAUCCCAAGUGAACCGUUACUCACCGCAGUCGGGUAUCUGCGACCGGAAGUCCACCACGACGGAGAAGCGGCGGCAGUGGCGCGCGUAGUGGGCCAGCGCCGAGCACAGGCAGGGCGUCCCGCACCGGCACGUGUCCGAGCGGCACUGCUGGUGGAAGGUCGCCGGGCUGAGGUGCUGGUGGCAGGCGGAGAACAGGUCCUGGUUCAGCACGUCGCACAUCUCCCAGGCGUAGGCCGCUGGGGCGGACAAAUCCACGGUAAAUGCACAUUUUCAGAUUUCGUGUAAUAGUUCAUGAACAACGCGGGAAAUGUCGAACGUGGAACGCGCGGCGGGCGGAAGCGGGACCGACCGGCCUGCUGGUGAGCGUCACACGGGUCCAGCUGGGGAGGACUGAGGCUGCUGGAGCACGCCGACGAGACCCUCCAGGCGUUCCCAAAGAGCUGAGGAGUGCUUUCUAUCAUCCCGGACGGAGACCUGCAGAGACCCGGAGCUCAGCGACCGUUUAGAUGUACGUGCACACGUUGUUUCAGCUUCUAAAUGCGUCUAAAAUAACUGGCACCCCACAUGACUCAACUACUACGAGUCAUCAUUUAACCGCUCUGGAGAUCUUUUGCCAAAGUGAGCGACCCCCGUCGGUCAGCGACUGAGAUGGAGAUCCAUUUACAGCUGUUAGGACCACAUCCGCCCUUCGUACAGUGGAGCCCCUAUUCCACCAACACUUCCCUCCUUGUUGAAGUGGCGAGUCCAGUUGGGCGCUCACCUGGCCCAAAAGAGCUGCUCAGAGAGCGAAGGCUUUUGAUGCCAGCCGCCGCCGAGCCCGUGUGCAUUACAGAGGGAGGGAGGGAGGGCACUUCACCGUCACCUCCCUCUCUUUUGAAACAGAAUCUCUCUCUACUUUAUCGUUGGAGGUGAGAGGGGCAAUGGGGGGGGGGUGGAGGGGUUAGGGGAGAGGUCAGAGGUCGCCCACACUCACAGAAAGUCGUCCUGAAUGUUGCCGUUGAAGGUGCCGCACAGCCCCGCGGUGUCGUCCUUCCACGGCGCGUCGGCCUGCAGGUAGACGCGGAACUGGGCCCAGCCGUACUGCAGACGCAGGCCGAAGGCCGUCCUCACCUGCAGGAACAUGGACGACAGCUCCUGGAUGUGGAAGAGGUCUGCAGAGGGAACAGCGUUCGUCACAACAAAACAGUGAUGGAGCGAUGCAAUGACAGGGCAACGACGGGGAGAGGAGGCCAUACCGUCAGAGUACGGCAGGGAGACCCGGUACUGUCCGGCCAGGAAGACCUCGCCCAAGUGACUCAACGUAACCUCCGUUCUCGGAUCCUCGUCAAUGACCAGGUUGACCGAUUGGAUGCAGGAACCGUCCAAGUUCUGCAAAUGAGAGGAGACGGCUCGAUGGAGGGUGGUGGACAAGAGGACUCACAGUGAGGGGGAGGUAAUGGGCCGGGAGAGAGAGAGAGAGAGAGAAUAGGAAAGUAGGUAAAAAGAUUUUACUCUGAAACCCUAAAAGCGUUGGUAGAAAAGUUCUGUGUUCAGGCCGCUGAAUAGUACGAGACCUCAUUAGCGGCCCCUCAAGUCUAAAAUGUGCAAAACAACCAUAGAAAUAAAUCAGGCGGCAGGAGGAUGGUUUGAGAGGCGGCCAUUUUUUUUUACCGUCACCAACUGCUGAAUGAACUAAACCGACUUACAGGUCGUGGACUGACGAUACAAGCUAGCUAGCUAGCUAGCAGGCUAACAGCCGUG
Molecule: long non-coding RNA, 8041 nt
Organism: Gasterosteus aculeatus aculeatus (three-spined stickleback)
Lineage: Eukaryota; Metazoa; Chordata; Actinopteri; Perciformes; Gasterosteidae
Source: Ensembl